AUGCACUUUGUAAUUAAGACGUCUGAUUAUUUUCCACGUUCAAUGCCAACAGAAUAUGGGGCUGGAAACAUGGUGUCAACAAACGGAGACAUUUACAGUUACGGGAUUCUUGUUCUAGAAACUGUAACUGGGAAGAGGCCCACGGACAGUAUAUCCAGACAAGGGCUGAGGCUUCGUGAAUACGUUGAGCAAGCUCUGGAUCAUAGCAUGAUGGAUGUUAUCGACAAGCGACUCGAAGAUGAGCUCCAGACCGCGGAUGAAUUUUCAAGGAAGAAAAAGAUGCACUGUUUGACAUAG
This 297-nucleotide ribosomal RNA is filed under the name Triticum aestivum (bread wheat). Its description in RNAcentral is "partial small subunit ribosomal RNA". The record is from RNAcentral. Lineage: Eukaryota; Viridiplantae; Streptophyta; Magnoliopsida; Poales; Poaceae.